AUGGCUGAGCCAAUCGCUGCUGCAGUUUGCACUGUCUAUUCUAUGGGUUAUUCUGGCUAUUAUUUGACCCAUCUGGCACGUCACCUCACCUAUGGAUGGAGAGAAGCUGAUCCUUCAAGCACAAACCAAACAUCAGCACCUCCUCAGUCUCCCUCUGUUCCUGGAGAAGAGGCCAAAGAGGAGGAAAAUUACAACAACCCUCCGUCUGUUGCUGCACCACAGCCUGGACAACCUGAAUCAAGUGCAAAACCAGCAUUAGAACUUGUUCGGUCUCCCUCUGUUCCGGGAGAAGAGGGCAAAGAGGAGGAAAAUUACAACAACCCUCCGUCUGUUGCUGCACCACAGCCUGGACAACCUGAAUCAGUAAGCAUCAGCUUUGGUUGGCACUGUCUUGGGUGCAAAGCAGAGUUGCAAGUUUCUGACCAG
RNAcentral lists this long non-coding RNA (426 nucleotides) under Manacus vitellinus (golden-collared manakin). RNAcentral's name for it is "lncRNA (ENSMVIG00005018755.1)". Lineage: Eukaryota; Metazoa; Chordata; Aves; Passeriformes; Pipridae. The record is from RNAcentral.